AUUGAACGCUGGCGGCAUGCCUUACACAUGCAAGUCGAACGGCAGCACGGGUGCUUGCACCUGGUGGCGAGUGGCGAACGGGUGCGUAAUACAUCGGAACAUGUCCUGUAGUGGGGGAUAGCCCGGCGAAAGCCGGAUUAAUACCGCAUACGAUCUACGGAUGAAAGCGGGGGACCUUCGGGCCUCGCGCUAUAGGGUUGGCCGAUGGCUGAUUAGCUAGUUGGUGGGGUAAAGGCCUACCAAGGCGACGAUCAGUAGCUGGUCUGAGAGGACGACCAGCCACACUGGGACUGAGACACGGCCCAGACUCCUACGGGAGGCAGCAGUGGGGAAUUUUGGACAAUGGGCGAAAGCCUGAUCCAGCAAUGCCGCGUGUGUGAAGAAGGCCUUCGGGUUGUAAAGCACUUUUGUCCGGAAAGAAAUCCUUGGCCCUAAUACGGUCGGGGGAUGACGGUACCGGAAGAAUAAGCACCGGCUAACUACGUG
Molecule: ribosomal RNA, 486 nt
Filed under: uncultured bacterium
Lineage: Bacteria
Description: partial 16S ribosomal RNA
Rfam family: Bacterial small subunit ribosomal RNA
Source: RNAcentral